Molecule: ribosomal RNA, 207 nt
Filed under: uncultured bacterium
Lineage: Bacteria
Description: partial 16S ribosomal RNA
Rfam family: Bacterial small subunit ribosomal RNA
Source: RNAcentral
AUUGAACGCUGGCGGCAUGCUUUACACAUGCAAGUCGAACGGUAACGCGGGGGCAACCCUGGCGACGAGUGGCGAACGGGUGAGUAAUACAUCGGAACAUGUCCUCGGAGUGGGGGAUAGCUCGGCGAAAGCCGGAUUAAUACCGCAUACGCUCUGAGGAGGAAAGCGGGGGACUCGUAAGGGCCUCGCGCUGCAGGAGUGGCCGAU